AAAUUGAAGAGUUUGAUCAUGGCUCAGAUUGAACGCUGGCGGCAGGCCUAACACAUGCAAGUCGAGCGGAAACGAGUUAUCAGAACCUUCGGGGAACGAUAACUGCGUCGAGCGGCGGACGGGUGAGUAAUGCCUAGGAAAUUGCCCUGAUGUGGGGGAUAACCAUUGGAAACGAUGGCUAAUACCGCAUGAUGCCUACGGGCCAAAGAGGGGGACCUUCGG
This 222-nucleotide ribosomal RNA is filed under the name Vibrio parahaemolyticus. RNAcentral describes it as "partial 16S ribosomal RNA". It matches the Rfam family "Bacterial small subunit ribosomal RNA", at positions 1 to 220 of the family's 1533-position model. Lineage: Bacteria; Pseudomonadati; Pseudomonadota; Gammaproteobacteria; Vibrionales; Vibrionaceae. The record is from RNAcentral.